CCUACGGGAGGCAGCAGUAGGGAAUAUUGCUCAAUGGGGGAAACCCUGAAGCAGCAACGCCGCGUGGAGGAUGAAGGUUUUCGGAUUGUAAACUCCUUUUGUUAGAGAAGAUAAUGACGGUAUCUAACCCAUAAGCACCGGCUAACUCCGUGCAAGCAGCCGCGGUAAUACGGAGGGUGCAAGCGUUACACGGAAUAACUGGGCGUAAUGGGCGCGUAGGCGGGAUAGCAAGUCAGUUGUGAAAUCUUUUGGCUUAACCAUAGAACUGCAAUUGAAACUGUCAGUCUUGAGUAGAGGUGAGGUAGGUGGAAUUCGUGGUGUAGGGGUGAAAUGCGUAGAGAUCAAGAAGAACACUGAUUGCGAAGGCGACCUGCUAGAACAUAACUGACGCUGAUGCGCGAAAGCGUGGGGAGCAAACAGGAUUAGAUACCCUUGUAGUC
Molecule: ribosomal RNA, 440 nt
Filed under: uncultured bacterium
Lineage: Bacteria
Description: partial 16S ribosomal RNA
Rfam family: Bacterial small subunit ribosomal RNA
Source: RNAcentral